GUAUCUUUGUUUGGUUUUGUUAUCAGGGUGAUGGUCCAACAUUAGUUUUAAAUGCCAAUACAAGAGCAUUUAAUUUGUAUAUUAAAUCAUCAAAAUUAUAUAAUUUGUAUUUUGGAGCUCAUACAUGCAUAUGUAUUUCAUUCUUACCAGAAAACUGGAAAUAGCACAAAACUAACUUAAUUAUUUUUAUUUUACUUCUUAAAACAUGCACAUUUGACCAACACUUCUUACCUCUGGCUUAUUGAUGAGUAAAAUAGCACUUUUAAAGAAAGGAAUUAUAGAUUACUCUAUUUCUCCUUUUAUUUUUUUAAUUUUUUAUUAUAGUUUAUUUACAAUGUUAUGUCAAUUUUCUGCUGUACAGCAAAAUGACUCAGCCAUACUAUCUUUUUCCUUUUAUGUCCUUUUCAUCCUAAGUGGUUGGCUAAUAUAGGGGAGUAACAUGAGAAAGAAGGAAUAUAAUAGGGUUCCUCUGUCAUUUGUAUUUCUCAUAACCCCACUGUCUUCUUCCUGCAUUCUAGGCAAAUUCUGGCCAGAAUGGAAAGCAUGGCCUCUAGGGCAGUCAGCACUCUGCUUCAGUACAAGUAACAAACUUUGCAUCUCUCUGAACUCCCACAAACAGAAGUCCACUGGAAUUCUGCACUCAUGGAGCAUUUUGAACACAAUAUCAGAAUGGAGUGGUGGAAUUCCCAUCAUGGAUCAGUAGAAGCAAAUCUGACUAGCAUCCAUGAGGAUGCAGGUUCGAUCCCUGGCCUUGCUGACUGGGUUAAGGACCCAGAUUUACUGUGAGCUGUGGUGUAGGUAGCAGAUGUGGUUAAGAUCAGGUGCUGCUGUGGCUGUGGUGUAGGCCAACAGCCACAGCUCUGAUUUGACCCUUAGCUCUGGGAACCUGCAUAUGCCACAGGUGUGGCUCAAAAAAAAAAAAAAAAAAAAAAAAAAAAAGAAGAUUGGAACAACCAAACCAAAGGUGGGUCCCUUCCAAGUGUGAGCUCCCUGGGUGUGACUAUACAAGUCAGGUGACCUUGAAGUCUGCCCUGCAAUAAGUAGUCUGUUAUUCUAGGCCAGUCUACUCCUGCAGUGGAAAUGGAUUCAUCUGGUAAUCGUCUCAGGGACCUGAAUCAUUAAGAGGAUACAACCAACUUCCCCUGCUCUACACCUAUGAUGCAAUCUCACAAUUGUAAUUUGCCAUCCCAUAUGGACUUUUUCCCAAGGAGCAAAGAGUAAUUUAUUCACUCAGAAGUUAAAUUACUCACUAUAAUUUAAUACUGUAAUUUUGGUGUAUGCAUAAGACUAGCAUGAAUUUAAUUAAGAAAGAAAAUGGCCAGAACCUGAUCAUCUCUAAAUAAUUGCCAAAAUCAAGUUUUCUGGACCAAUAAAGAUAAAUGAUCAAGGUUGACAAAUACAUCAUAAAUUCAACAGUGUUGCACAUUCGCAUCCAAUCACCCUAGAUCCAUAUCUCCAUUAUUUUACCUUGUACUCAAGAGAAUUUUUCUCUUAAAAUAUUUUACAUGGAACCUUACUAGUAUCAAAUAUUAGUAAUGGGAUAUGAUGCUCAUUCUAAGCCAAAUGUUUAAUUUAUUGAUAAACUAUUGGAGCUACGGAAUAAAGAGAGGAUUACCCAGCUGUGAUUUAGAUGGCCUGAAUUAAACCCAGAUCUGCUUCAUACCAGCUGGGAAAUUCUUCAUUUGCAGAAGGGGAAUUUUGGGACAAAUAAUCCUUAAGAUCCCUUUCUGAUUUAGAAUUCCAUGACUCUGUAGUACCUGAGAAACA
RNAcentral lists this long non-coding RNA (1767 nucleotides) under Sus scrofa (pig). Its description in RNAcentral is "lncRNA (ENSSSCG00005031204.1)". Lineage: Eukaryota; Metazoa; Chordata; Mammalia; Artiodactyla; Suidae. The record is from RNAcentral.